RNAcentral lists this long non-coding RNA (18979 nucleotides) under Ananas comosus (pineapple). RNAcentral describes it as "long non-coding RNA (ACOM_LNC017329)". Lineage: Eukaryota; Viridiplantae; Streptophyta; Magnoliopsida; Poales; Bromeliaceae. The record is from RNAcentral.
AGUGGACUUAGAAAUGUGAGGAGUCCUGAAGAAGCCAUUGAGGCCAAUCUAAAUGAGAAAAAACAUCUCAAAUCACUAUCAUUGGAUUGGUCCACAUACCGCUCCAAUAGCGCAGAGGCAGAUGAACAGCUCCUCGAUAACCUUUGCCCUCAUAUCAAUCUCAAGAAAAUGCACAUCGAACAAUACCAAGGUGCUAAAUCUCCAUGCUGGAUGACAGGUCUGUCGCUCAUCAAUUUGACAUCUAUCAAACUGAUGCACUGUAAACGAUGGGAGCACCUCCCGCCUCUUGGGCAGUUUUCUUCGCUCCAACUUCUUUUCUUGUGGGGACUGCAUGCAAUAAAGCAAAUGGAUUGUUCAGUCUUUGGAAGCAGUAGUGGAUGUGCCUUUCCAUCAUUGAAGCACUUAUGGUUACGGGAUAUGCCUAACUUGGAGGAGUGGAUUGGAAUUGAUGAUAGGUGCAUUUUUCCUCAACUUCAUUCUAUGUAUAUUGCUGAUUGCCCUAAUUUGAGAGGAAUUCCUACUCUGCAUUAUGGUCUAAGAGAUUUGCAUAUUUCUAAUGUCGGAUUGACCGCUUUUCCAACAAUAAAUCAAGAUUCCGCAAACAACAAUGUAAGUGCUUUAUUUUAUAAACUUUAAAUUUCUCUCCUGAGGUUUAGCUCAUUUUCACUUGCCCUCCUGUAGUUCAAAAAAAGUAUCACUUUGCCCCCUCCCAUGGUUUAGCCGCUUAUUUUCACUUUGUCAUCCCGUGGUUCAAAAAGUUACACUUUGCCUCCUUUGGUUUAGUUUAUUUUUCACUUUGCUAUCCUAUGAUUUUUUAAACAUUUUUAAUUUGCCACGCUAUUUUAUAUAGAAUUUUUUUGCUGAAAUAAAAAUUAAUCUACAGGAGGGCGAAGUAAAACUUUUUGAACCACAAGGUGGCAAGGUGAAAAUGAGUUAAAUCACACGGUAGCAAUUUGAAGUUUACUCUUAUAUCAAAACACCAAUUCGAAUUUGCAUAGCUGUGGUUGCCGAGACUUAAAUAUCUUUUACAUCUUUCCUUUCUUGCAGCAGCAAGAACAUUUUCAGGCUCUUGAGAGGUUGGUCAUCGGACAAUGUGAGAAGCUCGAAUAUUUUCCAACAGAUUUUUUUGGGAAAUUCAAUGCCAUAAAAUCCCUGUGUGUAGAGAAGUGUCCGAAGUUGACAAAACGUGGGAUCUCAGACAUCCAAGUGCCCUCUGUACUCGGUGAUCUCACAAUUGGGUCAUGUGGCGACCUUGAGGCGCCAUUGCUGUGGUCAGCGAAUUUAACCUCUCUUACUGAGUUGAAAUUAUUCGAUUGUGCAAGGAUAGCAUCCCUUCCCCCAGCACAAGUGUGUGCACGAUGGACGAUGCUUUCCCGUCUAAUGAUAAAGAACUGCAAAGAACUGUCAUCAUUUGGCGGAAUACAAGCUCUCAUAUCCCUCCGAUAUUUAGAUAUUGAAGGGUGUGACAAGCUAAUUGAAGUUGCCCUGCUGCUGCAGCCUCCGUUCCCAAACGAUGUCGGCCGAAAAAAGAAUGCUGCAGGACUGGACUGCUUUUUGAAGAAUGGCAGACUAUCAAUUGACCACCACGCGCUCCUGCUCAUGGAGCCAUUGAGAAGUCUGACCUUCGUCAGUGUUUUCUAUUUCAAUCCCGCUUCGCAACCCACCAGCUUACCUGAGGAAUGGCUACUGCAAAAUCACGCUGCCCUCGAAAAGAUAAUCAUAUCGGGCGCAUGCUCCCUUCAGUCCCUACCCCGGAGCAUGACAAAAUUGUGCUCCCUCGAGUUUUUGGAAGUGUGGAAUGCUAACCUCAUCCAGUCACUUCCAGAUCUGCCUAAUUCCCUACAUACUCUACGCCUCAACUGCUGUCACCCUGUGUUGAAGGAGCGAUGCCAAGAGAAUAUAGGCCUUGAUUGGCCCAAGAUUGCCAACAUCCGUUAUCUGAGGAUUGCAUAGCAUUAUUUGCAGAUCGUGAUGAUGAUGCAUAUUAAUUGUAAGUACACUCUACCGCCCUUCAUCUCGUAACCCUUUGUUGUAAAUAAUGCAAUUCAUUUUGGUCUUAAUUAAUGAACUACAUACAUCUCAUUCAGUCUUAACAAAGUUAUCUCAUUUCUUACGGGAUUAAUUGCUCACCUUUUUUCAGAUAAUGCAAGAGUAGCCAGGUUCCUUUUUAAUUAGCAUCCUCAAUGGAAUUUUUACAUUUUGUACUCUCAUUUUAUGAUUUGGAUACAUAAAAAGGGGAAUAAAGCACUAAUUGCCUCCUAUAAUACAUUGUGCUCGCAGGACGGAUUGGUCUUAUAUAUAAAACAAACAAUGUAAUGAAUAUAACAUAUGUUAAUUGCUAGCAUGUCAAUUGCUUUCUAAAGUUAAAUAUGACUAAUUAUGCAGUAAUUUCUCUCUAGGAGUGCAAAUAAGACUAAAGUCUCGCUGAUGAGUUAGAACAAAAGAGAAGCAUGACAAAAGCUUUUUAAGUUUGUUAAAUUUCUUGUUGCAGGGGUGAUGAUGCAUAUUGUACGUACAUUGUUAGAUGUGACUUGAAAUUGAUAAUCGACUUCAGUUCGGGGUUUCGACUUGCCGGCAGUUUCGCGGUGCGGCCAAAUUGGAAAAUAAAGUUGUGAAGGAAAAAUGAAUAUCUGUGGUGGAUAGCAGAGGGCUCGGGCCAACCCGCGGUACGGAUCGGAUCCGAAACCGUUAAGAGUUUCCUUUUCAUUUUUGCCCUAAAGGCGAUAGAUCAUGGUCGGUUGUAUCUUGAACAUUGUAUUUCCCUUUUUCGACAGUGAAGUUCUCUCCUCCCUCGCCCGUGGUUUUUCCCUGCAAAGAGGUGUUCCAUGUAAAUCUGUGUGUUCUUCUUUUUCUGCUAGUGGUUUGUUUAUUUCGUGUUCGUCAUUUUCGUUUUCCGUUUGUGCGUUUGUCAUAACAUACACUUUACCGCCCUUCACCUCGCCCAUGCUACCCUUUGUCAUUGAUGCAAUUCAUCCUGGUCUUAAUGAACAAGUUCUCAUUCAAUCCUAACAAGUUUAUCUCAUUUGUUACAGGUUUACUUCCUUUUUUUCUGGACACUGCUCUUUUUUGGAUAAUGCAAGAGCAGCCAGGUUCAUAUUUAACUUAGCAGACUCGAAAGAAUUUAUACUUUUCACCCUUAAUUUACAGUUUGGAUACUGGUCAGUUGUUACAUCUAUCUUGCUAGGCCUGAAUAUUGAAGCAAUGGAUUAGUCAUGUAAGACAAACAAUGCAAUGAUUAUUAUAAAUAUAUGUUGCCCCAGUAAUUACUUAAUUUCUACAAUUAAACAUGACUAGCUAGUUGUCCAGUAAUUCUUUCCAGGGGAAAUUAGAGAAGCGCGACAAAGCAUUCGAGUUGUUUCAAGGAAUUAAGGAUUAGGACAUCCUUCGUCUUACUGCGUGCAUGUGUUCUUCUAUUUUCUUGGUGCAGGUUUAGAGAAAGACUCCAUGUAAUAUUGCAUUUUCUUUCUUUUUAUUUUCUAUUGCCAGAUGAGUACUUGAAAAUGUUUAAGAAAGAAAUUAUCCUCUUUUGGAGCAAAUUAAGAGGUUAAGCUUAAAUGCUUCAACUCUGUUUCCCCUCACUUUUUCUGCAUUUAUCCGAAAGAUAUUUUAAUAUUGUUUGAUUCAUGUAAAAGUAGCAAACCUCAUCGCAUGGUGAGCUUGUUUUGUUUGUGUAUUAUCUGAUGAAGUUGCUGAGCUUCUUUGAAGUAGCUUAAAAACCUAAUUUGGAAACUGCUUAUUUCAAACUAUGUUUAUUUAGCAGCAUAACAAGCAUCCAGAUUAAGCUUGUGAACUUAAUUUCUGCAGUAUAAAUUAUACAUUAAGUUUUGUUAAACUUAUUUUAAGUUUCUAGUGCAGGUUUCAUCGACAUCUGGAGUAAAUUUGGUAGGCGUGCUCCGUCGAAAAGACUCGGUCAGACUCUUUGUAAAAGGAAAAUGACGGCUACACUGGAGGCGGCAUGAACUCGCAACCAUAUUCUGCAGCUACCAUAUUUUAAUCUCUUUAUCAGAUUUUUUUUAAAAAAUUUAUUUUCCUAAUGCAUUGAAGACAGAAAAACACAUUCGGAACCGAACCAUUUCGGUAAUUGUUGCUCAUGUUCAGUUCAGUCUUCAAUCUGUAUAAGUUUUGUUUUCAUUCGGAUUUUUCGAACAAUGCAUUUCAAUGUACCUUUUCUGUCUGUACUGAGUACACUCCAUUGUGCAGCUCCUUAUUUCCCCCCCUUUUUUUUAUUUACAUUCUCUUAACUUCUUUUUUUUUUCCGAGUUAUUUUAGUUUGUUCAAGUGAAAACUUUGUUAAGUUUCAUGGUUCUAUUAACUGUCGGUUGAUUCAGUUUAUUUGCUAAAAGCUGAUUAAAACCAUUGAAGUAUGGAAAAUGCUUCUUGUACACCCCAAAAUGGGGUGUACAUCUUACACCUACAAUUCUAGAGUUGAUAAAAAUUGAAUUGGUUUUUAGUAAAAUUUUAAAAAAUUGAUGUGACAAGAAUGACUUUAGGAUAGAGUGAGUGUAAAAUGUACACCCCCCUUUUAGAAUGUAUCUGUAGCAUUGCUCUUAAAGUAUUAGUUUUUUUAAAUAAUUCAAUGCUUUUUGAAAGUAAUUUUUAGUAGUUCUACGCGAAAGCAAACUGUAUGCACCGCCCAUAUAUAUGAUCCCAAAAGUUUGAUCUCAAAUAUCUAAAAAGCAUAUAUUGGAAAAAUUAUGAAUUUUGAAAAGGGUAAACUUCAAAUUGGCCACUUGCCGUUUUAGCUUUUUUUUUAUUUUGCCAUUUCAUUUCAUGGUACAAAGUGUUGCAUUUUACUGUUAUGUGGUUUACCACAUAUUUCACUUUGUCAUCAUUUAAUUAUUUUAAAAAUUUUUUACUUUGCUACUUAAUUGGAUAUAGAAUUUUUAAUAAAUAAAAAUUAAAUCAUCUGUGAUUAACCGAACGGGGGACAUCCCAACCCGCUGGAAUCGCAAUAGAUAUAUACUGUCGGGAACUACUAGAACACUAUUCGACCUCUGUUUUACUGCAGCAUGUUGGGCUCUUUGGAAAGAGCGAAAUUCGAGGAUCUUUCGCAAUCGACGAGUCACGCACGAAGAAAUGGGAAAAUCCAUUAUGGCUGAAGUACAGUUCUGGAGAUCCACCUGGGGGGGAUGAUUGAGUUUGGAUUGUGGGUUCAACUUAUGUAAUUCAUUUUUCUGUAUGUGCUGAUUUUACUCUUUGUUCCACUGUACUCCAAAAAUAGGGUAAAUCCCUGUUUAAUCAAAAAAAAAAAUUAAAUCAUCGCAGUAGAGCAAAGUGUAAUUUUUUAAACUAUAGAAUGACAAAGCAAAAAUGUGCUGUACUUCAAGGGGGCAAUUUGAAGUUACCAAAACCAACCCUCCUGUGUCGAGUAGUCUAGAGAAUUAAUGGUAAAAAAAAAAAGAGAAAAUUCUUUUUCAAUUUAUAAGAAAUCGGUGUCAAUUUUUUUUUUUUUUUUUUUUUUUUUUUUUUUUUUUCUGUACAUCGGCCAAUUAAAUACAAACGGUGCAGCCAAUAAUUAAUUCCCUUAUGCAAUUACUUCUACAUUAAUAUGAUUUCAAUGAGUAUCUUUUUAAAAUCCAAGCCCAAUUAAACUAACGUGAUGACUAUAUAUUAAAAAAAAUUAAUACAAUAUUUUGAAAAAAACAAAAAGAAAGCUUAUUACUGUAACAUCAAGUAAAAUCAAAAAUCAAUAAUUGUCUAUAAUUCACCCAUAAAGUACUAGUUAAAUUUUAGACUAAAAUAUAGAAAAUUUUUCUGUAAAUAUAUAUCAUGUCAUUUUCUUCUUCUAUUUUGAAAAAAUCUGCAUUAUUUUUCUCUCUGAAUUUUAAGUUUAUGCACUUGGGCCCCAUUGUUACUUGUUAGGUUUCGUCACUGGUCCAUCUAUUUCUUAUAAUUUAUAAUUGAAAAUACCGAAUAGAUACUUAAAAGUACUGAAAAUAUAUUAAAAAAUUAUUUUUUCCCUCCAGAAUGAGUAAGAAUAGUUUUGUCAUUUCACCCACUCCGUUAAUGUUAUAAUUCUCUGAAGACAUAUUUAAAAUUUUAAAAGAAAAAAAUAUACAAUUUUAAAAAAUAGAAAAAAUAUCUUAAUCUUAAUUUUAGUCUAAAUUUUAAUCUUAAGACCUCUAUCACGGAAGUAGCUGAUGUAAUUAUAUGCAAACAAUAAUUUCUCCCUCAGAGAGGGUUUGGAAUAGGGAUGUCAAUGGGUAUGGAUACCCGAAAUUUAUCCGAACCCGAACCCGAAUGAAACGGAUAUAUCCGAUGGAUAUGGAUAUGGAUUCGGAUAUGGAUAUCAAAAAUAGAAACCCGACAGAUAUGGAUUCGGAUAUGGAUUUUGACUGUACCCGACCCGAACCCGAACCCGACCCGAAUCCAACCCGAACCCGAAUUAUUUUGUAUUAUAUAUAAUAUAUAUACAAAUUUGAUGUUAUAUUUGAAUUUAUAUUUUAAAAAUUUAGAUUUAAUAUAAUAUAUUUUGAAAUAUUGAAAAAAAAAAAUUGUUUCGGGUUCAAAUUUUCAGGUUCGGGUUCGGGUUCAGGUUCAGGUUUCGGUCGGGUUCGGAUUUGGAUAUAGAUUUUUAAAAUUCGUCGGGUUCGGGUUCGGGUUCGGAUCUCGGGUUUGGAGUCGGAGUCGGAUUCGGGUUCGGAUUUUUAAAAAUCCAUCCCGAAUCCGACCCGUUGACAUAUCUAGUUUGGAAGUUGGAGAGGACGGAUCAAUUCCUCUGCCGACAAUAAUUGAGUUUGGUUGAUUACGACUGAAGGUAGACAAAUUUCCUGCAUAUUGACUUGUAAGUCUUCUCUGCGAAACUCUUCUUUCAUUUCCUCCCCUCUCCCAAAAAGCACUCAAGAAAUUUCUCUUCGCCAUUUUUUUUUUUUUUUGUUAUGUACUAAAUACCUGUUAAAGAUUGUGAAACAAUCCCUUGGUUUUAAAAACUUAAAUUGCUACGGAAUGAUAUUCUAUUUUAAUAAUUAUAUUCAAUACUCCUUUUUGUUACUAGACUCCAAUCCCUUUUUAUAGGCACCUCUCAAAACUGAAGUUACUAAUUAUGCAUUCAAAUUAGUCGUAUAUUUCGUAAGCACCACAAAACCAUAUAUAUAUAUAUAUAUAUAUAUAUAUAUAUAUAAAGUUGGACUGGGCUACUAUUAGUAGCAAAAUUUCAUUGUUGCUACCAGUUUUUUAGCCUUUGGAUCAACUCUUUCAUUAUUUCUAACCAUUGGAUUAAAUAUUAUAACCCAGUAGGGACCACUCAACCCUAGGGGGACUACUCAACUCUAACCGACUAAUAUCAUCCCGACCCUACAAUUUUUCAUCCAAGGGUUAAAAACUUGAUAGCAAAAAGAGCGUUUUACUAUUAAUAGUAUUCCAGCCUAAUUAUAUAUAUAUAUAUUGUCACGCCCCGGAUUACACGUUCCCCGGGCACGCCGACAAAUCCGCCGUAUACAAAGAAAUUUUCCCUGUAUACGAAGCGAUAGCUGUACCUGUAAAUCAAACACUACUACGAACAGUAGUAGAGAGCUGCUAGAGAAAACUGAAGCUAAAUAAAACAGAGUUUCAUAUACAUAGUUCAGAUCCAAAAUACAGAGCUACUCGCACUGGCGAGUUAAGUCAACUAUGUACAUAAACUCGAAACAAAACAUCUACCUGCAGUAGGGCACCUCUAGCUCAGCACGUCGGGUAGGGCUCUAACUCGCGACGCCCUUGCCUCGAUCCUGGUCCGCAGACGGUGCAGCAGCCGGAACCUGUGGCUCUGCAAAAACAUAGGUAACAACUGGGCGUGAGAACUACUGUAAAAACAAGUAGUCCUCAGUGGGUACCGCCCAAAACAACAUCGGUCACCCACUAAGUCUACAGAAGGGAGCAAGGAUAGAAGGAAAGCAGGAAGCAUACUCUACCGCUAUCAUCCACUACACUAUCAUGCUCUACACUAACCAACUGUAGGAAAUGUCAAAUCUGACCCAAUCCAAAUCGGGACUGUAAGCAUACCCGUCCCCGGGACUGUGAAUACACCCGUCCCUGCCCCGUUGCGACUAUCGGGCUCUAUCCACUCUAACUGGUCCGUGGAGAGCAAGUCCAACUGGCAUGAGCGACACCAACGCAAAAGCACAAGCCUGACUCCGGAGUGGCACUCGUGGGCGCUACCCAACCGAGUAUGCAGCGUAUCUCUGUCGAGCUCAAUCAGGCUCCAACUAGCCAAAGUCAAGUAAUCGACUCAAACUGGUCUAACAACCAACAGGUAACGUGCCCUCGGCACAAUCUGACGCCAAAAAGGCGAUACGGGUCCACCGUCAACUCUGACGGCACCCAACAGUCCGAAACGACCUGAACGACCCUGUAAAAAUCCACUCGGCGAACCAGCACGAGUGUAAAUACAUUCUAAACUACCUGGAGUACUCGUCUCGAAGAAACUGCGACAGUACAAUUUUCUAACGGCUCCUAGAGCUAAAUCAGGUAGUUAAAACUGGUGACAGGUCCAAAUCGCAGGUUUUCUCCUAAUUCAAUUUCCAAGUCCAACAUGUAUAAUUUAAAUAAUUAUAAAACAUGCUCAAAAUUCAGUUCUCACAUUCAAGCACAUAACCCAUGAAUUUGAGCUAAACUAGAUUACCAAAAUUCAGAUCUAUACAUGUCGACGAUUAUGAACUUAGGAGUCGAAACCGAUGUAACCCACCUCGCUCGCUAAUCCCUGGCAGCACGGAACACCCUCGGCUGCAACACCACCUGCUGGAUUGACCAAAAAUGCCCGAGUCUCGAAAUCGAGCGAACUCCAAACUAAAAACGCCAAAAUUCCUCAAUUCAGUCCAAAAUCCACAGCAGCUGAGUAGAAACGGGAUUCGACCGAGCUAACCUUCACCAAAAUUCACAAGUAAGGGCUUCGUGGAUUCCUCUCGCAGUCCCGAAUCCAACGAACCAAGUCUCGUCGCAAUCCGAUGCUCCUACGUCGAGAACGAGCUGAAAUACUAACAGUCGACGGUGGAUUUCAGCAAACAACAAUUUACCGAGAAGAAAUAGAAAUACUUGCUCAAAAUCCAGGGAAGUGCUGAAUUACCCACCUCGACAGCGUCGAACCUCGGUGCGACGUCAAGAACAGUGAAGACGCUCCCUCGCCCGGCCUCCUCGCAAAGCUCCGGCAACAAGCGCGCUCGGACGGCUCGCGGCGCGACGUCGGCGACGGAAUCCCCAACCGGAUUUUCAACCAACACCUAGAGAGAGAGAGGAGAAGAAGAUGGAGCAGAGCAGAGAAAUACUCUCUCUCUCUCUGCUCGGACACCUAAAAGGAGAGGGGAGGUGAGGGAGAUACAAACGAGGUGAGAUUUUACUGUUUUAGCCCUCUACCUACUCCCUUGUACCGGUACACGGGCUCCUGUACCGGUACAAGAGCCAACCCGAGAGCAGCUAAAUCUGUGCGCGUAGCUUGUACCGGUACAGAAAACCCUUGUACCGGUACAGCAAGCAUUCCCCGCGCUGGUUGUACCGGUACAGCAUAGUCUUGUACCGGUACAGCAAGCAGGAAAAUCUGCUAUUUUGCAGAUUCCUUCGCUGAAUGCUGCCCUCGCGUCGCACGGAGUCCGUUUUGCGUCUAUUUGACGCCAACGCGACUCGGACUUGUCCCGACACUCUCCAGAGCUGUCGACAAGCCCCCACAGCCAGACACCAGGGAUCUCACAUAUAUAUAUAUAUAUAUAUAUAUAGAGUCCGGCUACUAUGCUAUUAAUAGCACGAAACACUUGGUGCUACCAAGUUUUUCGCCGUUAGAUCUACCCUUUUGAUCAUUUUCAUCCGUUAGAUCAUACUAUUUAACCAACCACCCACUCAACCCUAGGGGACCCACAUCAUCCUAAUCGCACAUCUCUUAAUCCAAUGGCUAAAAACUUAGUAGCACCAAUGACUUGAUACUAUUAAUAGCAUAGUAGCCUAGUUCUAUAUAUAUAUAUAUAUAUAUAUAUAUAUAUAUAGAGAGAGAGAGAGAGAGAGAGAGUUCGGGUCCGGUGGUUUUAAAAAUAUCAAGCACUUAAUGCUCGUAAGCUGUUUACCGUUAGAUCUAUCUUUUGAUUAAUUUAGCCCGUAAAUUAUAUUAUCCGACCAACCACUCACUCAAACCUAUAAGACCGCUAUUAUCCUAAUGCUACAAAUCUUCAUCCAAAGGCCAAUCAAUUCCUCUGUCGGCAAUAAUUGAGUUUGGUUGAUUACGACUGAAGGUAGACAAAUUUUCUGGGUAUUGACUUGUGAGUCUUCUCUACGAAACUCUUCUUUCAUUUCCUCCCCUCUCCAAGAAGUAUUCAAGAAAUUACUCUUCGCCAAUUUUUUUUUUGUUAUGUACUAAAUACUUGUUAAAGAUUGUGAAACUUAUUUUUAAAGUUUAAAUUGUUACAGAAUGGUGUUCCUUUUAAUAAUUAUAUUCAACAUUCUUUCCCGCGGCUGAGCUUAUUAUUAUUAUUAUUAUUUUUUAAUAGGCUUGCAACGUGAAGUUGAAUUAAAUGAAUGAAAAUUAACUGAUGUAAGGAAGGGGCGCAGCGGCUUUGAGCAUGUCUCGCCAAAUAGGGCAGCAAUCCUUAGGACUCGGACAACCCAGGGAAGGAGCCAUGCGCCUAUAAUAUUUCUUACACUAGUUUUUUGGUUUGUUUCUUUUCUUUGGGUGAUCGUUCUAUCCUGUCUUGUUUAUGAUUCGGCAACCCCAUCUGAAAUAGGGUAUUCCCCUGUUUAAUCAAAAAAAAAAAAAUUUAAAUGAAUGAAAAUUACUAGACAAGGGCCCGGCGGGAUUCAAACUCUGAACCUUCUAUUCUGAUAUUAUAUUAAACAAUCUGAAAUGAUCAUUAUACUCUAAAAACUUAAGCUAUCGGAAAAUAGUGUUAUGUUUGGGCUCAAGGCUUUUUACGAGGUUCGAGGUGUGGAUUUGAUUUAAAUAGGGAAAAAAAAAAAUAAACGCAUGUUUGGUAGUCGAAAUAAAGGAUUACUACUUAUUCUGCGUAAGAAUUUUCUAGUGUAAUUGUAAAAAAAGAAUUUGAUUUUUUCUCCUUGAAAUAUCCUAAUAUUCGUGAUUUGGAUAGUAUAAUCUAUAUUUCACCUACGAGGUGAUUUAUUUAUUCGAGAAACAACUUGAAUGCUAAGUGUACGUAAUAUCUAAUUUAGACGUUUGAUCACACUUUUCAUCCACCAAAUAUAUAAACUUCUCAAAUAUAUAACGAAAAUAUAUCGAACAAAACAUUCAUGUAUCCAGACAUGACCAAAUAGAACAAAGGUGUAAAAGGAACUAGAAGAAAAGUGUGCGGAGAAAUUGUUCUAUAUUUUCCAAUAAGACCGCAAAAUUUAUAUAUGAUAAUUUUUUACAAAUAAAAAUCAAAUAUUUUUUCAUCACAUAUUCUUGCCGUGGUAUCACUCAAUUUCAGUGAAGUCUAAAAUAUCUACAAAGGUGCGGUGGAUAACAAAGAAAUAUUUAAACAUGCAUGUCUUUCAAAACUUUGCUACUUUAUUUGUGCAGCUUGCAUUAUAUUUCCUCCCCUCUUCUAAGAAGCAUACAAGAAAUUACUCUUUUUGGAUCUUUCUUUUGACUCCUGCUAUUAUUGCUAGCUACUCGACGGUACAAAGCAAUUCAAAUUAGAUAAAAUUUAAAUAAAAAAUUAUAUUUAUCAUCAGGAGCAAUAUUAGUUCUUCUAAUUUAAACUUUAAGUCAUUUAUUAUUAUUUUUUUCAUUUAUUUUGAGACUACUCAGUCACUAGACAAAUAAAGUCAAAAAAUUAUAAAAUUUGAUUUCUAGAUAAUUUCAAUAAGAGAUAACUUCAAAAAACCCCCCCUGUGGUUUUGCAUUUUCUCACUUUAGUACCAUGUGGUUUAAAGUGUAUCAAUUUGUCCCCCUGUAGUUUUAUUAUCAAUUUUAUUAUUAUUUUUUCUUAAAUCAGUGACAAAGUUAAAAAUUAAAGGAUACUAAAGUAAAUAUUCGAUAAAUCUAUGUGGGUAUCUGAAGUAUUUUUGUAUAUAGUUUAACGAAAUAUUAAGAAAAAAGCUGUCGAAAAGAUAAAAACAAAACCACAAGGGGGCAAAAAAAAAUUUAAAAGCAUGUAGGUCUCUGUGCUUUCAAAAGCAUAAUAGCCUUGCUCGAUAUAAUAAAACUCUUUGAGGAAAGAAACAUUACAAUAUAACAAAUAAAAAUAAUACUAAAAUACAUUGCAGUAGAGUGCAAUUAAGCCUUGUUUUUACUAAAAUACAGUGCAGUACAGUACAGUAGAGUGGUGAUCUUUGGCACUUCUUUUCUGCAAGUUCCUAAUUAAAGCAUUCCCUUUUCUUCUUUUUUUUUGGAUUCCUUGUUCUCUGUUUUUUUGUUUGGAUGUGAAGGUUUCCAAAUGGUUGAUUGAUCAACUUCUUGACUAGUUUUAUAGAGCGAGUCUUCCAAGCAUCUUUAUUUCUUUGAAAGUAAAGUGGGCAUAUUUAUGGGGCCCACUUUACUUAAUAAAGUUUUCAACUAUUAAACGUUAUCAAGAAUAUCCCACAGCAAUUUGCCCCACCAAUAUGAUAAGAUUGAGUUGAUUUAGGGGGUGUGUGGUUGGUUUCUGAAAAAGGGUAAUUGUUUUUUUUUUUUUUUGUUUUUAAUUUCCUAAAAAGCAGCUUUUCACCUUAAUUUCUUUUCUUGGGGGAUCAAAUUAAUAAAACAGGCCAUACUCUAUUUAUUGCUUUGCCAUGCAAAAGUCUCCACGAUUCCAUUCUCAAGUUUCUCCGAAACUCAUUCCUCCUCAAUCCUUUCUUCUUUGCAAGCUGAACCUCUCUUCUCUCAUUCUCCAAUUUCUGCACUCCAGGAUCGAGUUUCAUCAAUUUGCCUGAGUAGCGGUGAAGUCGAUCAUGGCUCUAACCUUCAUAGCCGAAUCUGCGGCGCCGGCGAUCAUCGAGAAUCUUGUUAGCACAUGCUCAUCCUACCUCGUGGCGUGCCCGGCGCCCUGAGGUGUACCUGUUAUGCUUAAAGUCGGCAUAUUUUGAUUUACGGGGUGGGGUAAGUGUUUGAUUAAUUCUGAAAAAAUAUUUUUGAAAAUAAUUUCCCAGCUGAAUUUAUUAUUAUUAUUUUUUUAGCUUGUUUAGUUUCAAAAUUUUAUCCGAGAGUUGAUUUAGGGGGUGUGUGGUUUCAAAUUUUUUUAAACAAAAUAAAAAUAAAAAUUGGGGAAUCAAAUUAAACACCCACUUAAUUGGUGGGGGGCUUAAUUAAUUUUGUUGUCGAAUAAUUAAAGCAGCCAUACUCUAUUUGUUAGUGGAUGUCCUCCACGUUGGAUGUCAGCAUGCAAGAACUUAAUUAUUCCUCCUAAUUAAUCUUUCUUCGUUGCAAGCUCAACCUCUCUUAAUUUCCUCUUUCUCCAACGUUUUUCACUGCAGGAGCUUGAUCAAUUGCCCGAGUAGUGGUGAAGUAGCCAGCUAGUAGUCAAAUCGGCUAAAUUACAUGGUUACCUUCUGAACUUUUGGUGGAGUUUCACUUUACCUCCUAAACUCAUAAAAUGAACAUUUAAUAUUCUAAAUUCUAAAUAUUUUAUUCUUAUUAUUCUUUUCGUCAGUUUUUUAUUAAUAGAACUUGACGGUAAACUGAUGGAAUGGAUAACAUGAAUUAAAUAUUAAAAUUUAGAAUGUUAGAUUCCAUUUUAGGAGUUUGGAGUUAAAGUGAAUUUCCGCCAAAAGUUCUGAAGGGUAACAAUGUAAUUUAUUCUAUAUAUGUAUACACUAUUAUUUUUUAUGGAUGUUACUAAACUAUUUUUUUAUGCUAAUCUCCAUAUUACUGUUAAUAAUUCUAUUAUUUUAGACAAAAUUGAACAACUUAUUCAGGAAUAUUGGUUGAAAAAUAGGGAAAAAAAAUUGUAAAAUGAAUCUUCCUAAUUGACUCAUUGAAAGCUUUUAUCAAGUUAUUUUUAAUCCUUUUCAUUAUUUUUAUUUUUUUUGUUAUUUUUUCUGUCAAAAUGAGUUGAAUAUAAUUACUCUGUCACUUUUAUCCAGUAUUUUAUAGCAUCUUUCAUACAAAUUAUAAGUGGAGAAAUGAUUCGAUACUUUAUUAUUAAAAAAUAAAAUAGAUCUUAGCCGUUGAUUAAUAGAGGGUAAAGAUGUAAUUUUAAUAUUUAGCAAGUAAAUGGAUUACAUCAUUCGAGGUUAUUUCGGUAAUUAAACUAGACAACAUUUAAAGAAACUUUUAAUUGAUAUCCUAAAUUUAUACAUUAAUUUGCACUAAUUUAGAAAAUUGAUUGAUUAUCCUAAUUUAGGCAUUAAUUAAGCAUUAAUUUACGAAUUUAGUUUAGAAAUUUACAAAUUUAGUUUAAACAUAAAAAUUAAAAAGAUUAGGAUUACUAUUCAGAAAAAAAAAAUGGUUAGAAAUUUGAAUUCGAACCCGAUUAAUAAUCACAAUAUCAAUUUCCGAACUCGACGGAUUUCAAAAAUUCAUAUCGAAACCCAAAACUAACCAGUUUUUCGAAAUCCAAAACCAAAUCCAAACCGGAAGACGGGAACCCGAAAUAAUUUUUUUUUACCAUAUUUCAAAAUAUUUUAUAUUAUAUUUAAAAUUUUAAAAUAUAAAUUUGAAUAUAAUAUUAAGCUUUAUAUAUGAUUCGGGUUGGAUUCAAGAUGGACAUAGAAAAAAUUCAUAGUUGGUUCACAAAAUAAUUUCAUGUUCUUGUUGUCGAAUAAUUUAAAAAUUUCUUAUAUGAAAUGCCAAAUAUAAGAGGAAAGAUAGAGAGAGAAAAAAGAAAUAAAGAGAGAAUAAAAAUUUUAAUAAUAUACUAGAGAUAAAAUGACUAAAUUGCUCAUAUAUUAAAAGACAAAAAUACUCUUUUUUGAGAUACCUGGUGACCGGUAUCUCUCCUAAAAUGACCUGCUAUUGCAGGUCACAAUUUUAAGAAAAUUAAAUUUAAACCGUUGAACGGGAGUGAAUGAACAGUAACGAAAAAAAAAUAUAAAAGAAUUACUCUUAUUAGUUUAUUACUAAUAGUGUAAGCAGACUGGAAAAAAAAAAAAAGAAUAGUUGAUUUGUGCCUAAAAAAGAAAUAGUAUAAUGUAAAAAGCGAAAAAGAAAAAAUGAAAAAUACAGUAUCUUACAUUAUAAUUAAGUUAAGUAAAAAAAUUUAAGCUUUGAUUUACAAAAGAGUUUUUUUUUUUUUAAAAAAAUAGCAUACUAGCUGCUUCGUUUAUUUUAAUUAAAAAUAAAUUUAACUAAAAAUAUAAAUUAAUUGAAAUGAUUCAAAUUUGGGAACUUAGAUAUUAACAACCAAAAUCAUUAGGAAAGAGUUAAUUAAAGUUCAGAGGCUCUUUGUACAGUUUCCGGUCCCUUGUGUGAUCUAUAACCCUCUAUUAUUGGCUAUGCAGACAAUAAUUUCUCCCUCGGAGAGAGUGUGAAGUGGAGUGGGGCCGGGCAGAUUCCCUCUGUCUGGCAGUAAUUGAGUUUAAUUGGUUGGCUGUGACAGAAGGCAGACAAAUUUGACCGGUAAGUCUUCUCUGUGAAACACUUCCAUUUCAUUUCCUCCCCUCUUUCCGAGAAGCAUGCAAAGAAAUUACUCCUCCCCAGUUUUUUUUUUUUUUUUUUCUUUUCUUUUUUUGGGUAUGUCCUAGCUGUAUGCUUGUUAGAAAUUAAUUUGAAACAAACUGCUUCUCUCAAGAAGCUUAUUUGCUCGCUACUGUUACUGAAUUAAAGUGGGCAUAUUUUGAUUUAGUGUUUGAUUUCUGAAAAAAUUAUUUUUGAAAAUAAUUUUCUAGCUAAAUUUAUUAUUAUUAUUUUAUUUAGCUUGUUUUGUUUCUAAAUUUUAUCCGAAAAUUGUCUUCCCUAUUCAAAAAAUAAAAAUUAUACUUUUUUUUUUCCCGUAAAACACUGGUUUUCAAUUUUUUUUUUGAAAAAAAAUUGGGGAAUCGAAACACCCACUUAAUUAAUGGGGGGCUUUUGUUGUCAAAUAAAGCAGCCAUGUGGCAAAUAAUAAAGAAGUAUGGAAACAGAAGUAUGUAAACACCAUGUGGCAAUAAUAAUUUCUCCCUCUGUCGUCAUUUGGCAAUAAUUUCUGAAUGCUUUCACACAAGGAUUUAAGUGCCGUGGCACAUGGUCGUGCCGGAAACUUGCCGUGCCGAGCCGUACCGAUGCGUGCCGGUCAAAAAAAUUCAUGUGUGCCGAUACAUAAUAGCAUGAAAUAUUUAUUUUCUUUAGCAACAAAAUAUUCUAAUUAUUUAUUAUGUCUUUUUAUCACAUCUUUUGAAUUUUAUUGAGGAAAUUACUUACUAAUUUAAAGAAUAGAGGGUUUUGAGCUGUGCCAUUGGUACAGGGUCUGUAUCGUGCCGGUAUCUUGUUGGCACGAUACGGCACGGUAGAUACGGCCCGUGCCGAUGGGCACUUAUAACUUUGCUUUCACAUGUAAUGUCUUCUAACCAAAACUUGCACCUUGCAUUACAUUUCCUCCCCUCUUCCGAGAAGAAUGCAAGAAAGUACUACUCUUCGCGCGUGGAUCUUUCUUUGAUGCCUGCGCGCGAUUGUAUCUAUCUAUCUACUCAGCUAAUAAUUGUUUCGGCAUCUCUCUUUCCUCAUCCUCUAAUUUUCUGCAUUCUAGGACCGAGUUUUCCAUCAAUUGCCUGAGUAGUGGUGAAGCCAAUCAUGGCUCUAACUUUCAUAGCCGGAGUGGUGGCAACGGCGAUCAUCGAGAAGCUCGUUGAUACAUGCUUUUCCUACAUCAAAGCUUACCCGGGGCUACGAGGCGUGCGGGACGAGCUGGAAAGGCUGCAGCUGGCCCUUCCGCAGAUCCAGACAGUCUUGACUGCCGUAGAGGAGGCGGCGUCUAUUGCAGAGCAGAACGAGGCGCUGGAUGCUUGGUUGUGGCAGCUCAGAGAUGCUGUGGAGAACGCGGAGGACGUGCUCGACGAGCUGGAGUACUACGAGCUGAAGAAGACUAUAAAAGAUCGAGAUGACAAGGUGCGUGGCAUUCUCUAUAAAUGCAAGAAAAAGUUUGACCGUUUUGUUGAUCGUAAAUUUAGCAAUGACACACUGAAGCGGUUGAGGGAGGCCGUUAAGGGGUUAGAUAUGGUUGUUGCCGGCAUGGGGCCACUAGUUCAACUUGUUACUGGGUUAUACGGUCCUAGUGUUAAGUGUCAAAAGCUCGAGGAAAUCAAGAAUGCUCGCGAGACUAGCUCCUUGGUAAUCAAAAGUGAGGUGCUCGGACGAGACAAGGAGACGGGCCUGAUAGUCGAAUGGCUGAUCAACCCGGGAGAUGCUGAUGUUGAUGUCUCCGCUUUUACAAUUGUUGGUAUGGGUGGGCUUGGGAAGACUACCCUUGCUCAACUAAUCUAUCAAGACGAAAGGGUGCGAGAGUACUUCGACCCCAUUAUGUGGGUUUGCAUUUCUCAGGAUUUCGAUGUAACUGUGAUAACAAGAAAGAUUGUAGAAUGUGUAAGUAGUGGGAGUUUUGGCGACAAGAGUCUACAUGCGCUCCAUGAGAAUCUUAAACACAAACUAACGUCGAAGAGGUUUUUACUCAUACUGGAUGAUGUUUGGAACGAUGAUAAAAUGACGGAGUGGGAGAAAUUGGUUGCUCCUUUGAAAUUCGAACAGAGAGGAAGCAAGAUCCUGUUGACAACUCGAAUGGGUUCAGUUGCGGAUAUGGCGGCAAAAGUGCUGAAAUGCAAGCGAGAGUCAUUAAAUCUAAAUGAGUUGGAGGAGAACGACUAUAUGUUGCUUUUCAAUAAGCAUGCAUUCCUCGGUGUGAACCCUGAUGACUAUAAAAACUUGCAACCGAUUGGUGAACGUAUAGCGAAGAAACUUGGAGGAUGCCCACUGGCAAUAAAGGUCAUGGGAGGAUUGCUGAACUCCUGCAUGGACUAUAAAUAUUGGAAGAAAAUCUUGGAAGAAGACAUCAUGAAAUUACAACAUGGAAAUGACAGCAUUAUGACAAUUUUGAGAUUAAGCUACGAUCACUUACCCACAAACUUACAACUCUGCUUUAGAUAUUGUAGUUUAUUUCCACAGGAUCAUAUGUUUAAGAGGAAAAAGUUGGUCAAUAUGUGGAUUGGUUCAGAUCUGAUUCCGCAAUCUAUUUGUGGCAGGCAAAGGCCAGAGGAUAUCGGAAAUGAGUAUUUAAAUCUUCUGGCAAAAAAAUCAUUCUUUACUUGCAAAACCAGUGCUAAUGGGUUGAAAAUUACUAAAGAGUAUUUUAUGCACGAUCUGCUGCAUGACCUAGCACAAUCAGUUUCUCUAGGAGAAUGCAUCAGAGUAGGAGGUGACGUUGCAAGAAUUACUAUUCCACGGACAGUUCGACAUUUAUCUGUUGAAAUGGUCAAUUUUCUUUCCAUCAGAGAGAUCUCCAAUCUUAAGAACGUGCGCACUCUUGUCAUUUCUGUGAGAGAGGACAAUACCCAUAAUGCAGAUCAUGCACUUGAAUUUAUUGAGGUUAUAAAAGGGUUUAAAAAGUUACGCUUAUUGAUCUUAGAUGUGAUGUUUGACCCUUAUAAACUGCCCGAUGCACUUAGUAGCUUGAUACACCUCCGCUACCUAUCUCUUUCACUAUGGAAAGUUAUGAAUGAAAGUAUUGAAUAUGAUGGCUUGACCAACUUGGUCAAUUUGCGUUCAUUAGAUGUUUUCGAUGAUGUGAUACAAAAAAUUCCUUAUAUUAGCAAAUUACCCUUCAUCCACGAAUUACAAAAUUUUGUUGUCCGAGAGGAGAGUGGUUACAAAAUUGGUGAACUAGAGAACCUCAGGGACCUUCGUCACCUGUGUAUUAGGGAACUUGAAAAUGUGAGGACUUCUCAAGAAGCCAUUGAGGCCAAGUUGAAUCAGAAAAAAUAUCUCAAAUCAUUGUCAUUGCAAUGGUCCGCAGGCCGCUUCAAUAGUGCAGAGGCAGAUGAACAGCUCCUCGAUAACCUCUGCCCUCAUAUCAAUCUCAAGAAAAUGUGCAUCGAACAAUACCAAGGUGCUAAAUCUCCAAGUUGGAUGACAAAUCUGUCUCUUGUCAAUUUGACAUCCAUCAAACUGAUUGAUUGUAAAGGAUGGAAGCACCUUCCACCUCUU